CGACGCACUUUCGUUAAUUGAUUUUGAGAUGCUUGCAUCGAAGAUGAUUUUAACUAUAAAGUGAGUGGCGAACGGGUGAGUAACACGUGGGUAACCUGCCCAGAAGUGGGGGAUAACACCUGGAAACAGAUGCUAAUACCGCAUAACAAAAUUAACCGCAUGGUUGAUUUUUAAAAGAUGGCUUCGGCUAUCACUUCUGGAUGGACCCGCGGCGUAUUAGCUAGUUGGUGAGAUAAAGGCUCACCAAGGCAGUGAUACGUAGCCGACCUGAGAGGGUAAUCGGCCACAUUGGGACUGAGACACGGCCCAGACUCCUACGGGAGGCAGCAGUAGGGAAUCUUCCACAAUGGACGCAAGUCUGAUGGAGCAACGCCGCGUGAGUGAUGAAGGCUUUCGGGUCGUAAAACUCUGUUGUUGGAGAAGAACGUGUGUGAGAGUAACUGCUCAUGCAGUGACGGUAUCCAACCAGAAAGCCACGGCUAACUACGUGCCAGCAGCCGCGGUAAUACGUAGGUGGCAAGCGUUAUCCGGAUUUAUUGGGCGUAAAGCGAGCGCAGGCGGUCUUUUAAGUCUAAUGUGAAAGCCUUCGGCUUAACCGAAGAAGUGCAUUGGAAACUGGGAGACUUGAGUGCAGAAGAGGAGAGUGGAACUCCAUGUGUAGCGGUGAAAUGCGUAGAUAUAUGGAAGAACACCAGUGGCGAAAGCGGCUCUCUGGUCUGCAACUGACGCUGAGGCUCGAAAGCAUGGGUAGCGAAC
This 756-nucleotide ribosomal RNA is filed under the name Pediococcus ethanolidurans. Its description in RNAcentral is "bacterial SSU rRNA". It matches the Rfam family "Bacterial small subunit ribosomal RNA", at positions 45 to 773 of the family's 1533-position model. The record is from RNAcentral. Lineage: Bacteria; Bacillati; Bacillota; Bacilli; Lactobacillales; Lactobacillaceae.